Molecule: ribosomal RNA, 256 nt
Filed under: uncultured prokaryote
Description: partial 16S ribosomal RNA
Rfam family: Bacterial small subunit ribosomal RNA
Source: RNAcentral
UACGGAGGGUGCAAGCGUUAUUCGGAAUUACUGGGCGUAAAGGGUGCGUAGGCGGCUUUUUAAGUCAGCGGUGAAAUUUUGCAGCUUAACUGUAACAGUGCCGUUGAUACUGGGAGCUAGGAUUUGGUUGCUGUGGGUGGAAUGUGUGGUGUAGCGGUGAAAUGCUUAGAGAUCACACAGAAUAUCGAUUGCGAAGGCAGCUCACAAAGCCAAGAUUGACGCUGAGGCACGAAAGUGUGGGGAUCAAACAGGAUUA